This 21-nucleotide non-coding RNA is filed under the name Caenorhabditis elegans. The record is from RNAcentral. Lineage: Eukaryota; Metazoa; Nematoda; Chromadorea; Rhabditida; Rhabditidae.
UGUUAGAGACCCCAUAAUUGC